UGGGGAAUAUUGCACAAUGGGCGCAAGCCUGAUGCAGCGACGCCGCGUGAGGGAUGACGGCCUUCGGGUUGUAAACCUCUUUCGCCAGGGACGAAGCGCAAGUGACGGUACCUGGAGAAGAAGCACCGGCCAACUACGUGCCAGCAGCCGCGGUAAUACGUAGGGUGCGAGCGUUGUCCGGAAUUACUGGGCGUAAAGAGCUCGUAGGUGGUUUGUCGCGUUGUUCGUGAAAACUCACAGCUUAACUGUGGGCGUGCGGGCGAUACGGGCAGACUGGAGUACUGCAGGGGAGACUGGAAUUCCUGGUGUAGCGGUGGAAUGCGCAGAUAUCAGGAGGAACACCGGUGGCGAAGGCGGGUCUCUGGGCAGUAACUGACGCUGAGGAGCGAAAGCGUGGGGAGCGAACAGG
RNAcentral lists this ribosomal RNA (409 nucleotides) under uncultured bacterium. RNAcentral describes it as "bacterial SSU rRNA". It matches the Rfam family "Bacterial small subunit ribosomal RNA", at positions 355 to 776 of the family's 1533-position model. The record is from RNAcentral.